This 1627-nucleotide ribosomal RNA is filed under the name Salmonella enterica subsp. enterica serovar Kentucky. RNAcentral's name for it is "partial 23S ribosomal RNA". It matches the Rfam family "Bacterial large subunit ribosomal RNA", at positions 1243 to 2850 of the family's 2925-position model. Lineage: Bacteria; Pseudomonadati; Pseudomonadota; Gammaproteobacteria; Enterobacterales; Enterobacteriaceae. The record is from RNAcentral.
UAAGCCUGUGAAGGUGGCCUGUGAGGGUUGCUGGAGGUAUCAGAAGUGCGAAUGCUGACAUAAGUAACGAUAAAGCGGGUGAAAAGCCCGCUCGCCGGAAGACCAAGGGUUCCUGUCCAACGUUAAUCGGGGCAGGGUGAGUCGACCCCUAAGGCGAGGCCGAAAGGCGUAGUCGAUGGGAAACGGGUUAAUAUUCCCGUACUUGGUGUUACUGCGAAGGGGGGACGGAGAAGGCUAUGUUGGCCGGGCGACGGUUGUCCCGGUUUAAGCGUGUAGGCUGGUUUUCCAGGCAAAUCCGGAAAAUCAAGGCUGAGGCGUGAUGACGAGGCACUACGGUGCUGAAGCAACAAAUGCCCUGCUUCCAGGAAAAGCCUCUAAGCAUCAGGUAACAUCAAAUCGUACCCCAAACCGACACAGGUGGUCAGGUAGAGAAUACCAAGGCGCUUGAGAGAACUCGGGUGAAGGAACUAGGCAAAAUGGUGCCGUAACUUCGGGAGAAGGCACGCUGACACGUAGGUGAAGUGAUUUACUCAUGGAGCUGAAGUCAGUCGAAGAUACCAGCUGGCUGCAACUGUUUAUUAAAAACACAGCACUGUGCAAACACGAAAGUGGACGUAUACGGUGUGACGCCUGCCCGGUGCCGGAAGGUUAAUUGAUGGGGUCAGCGCAAGCGAAGCUCCUGAUCGAAGCCCCGGUAAACGGCGGCCGUAACUAUAACGGUCCUAAGGUAGCGAAAUUCCUUGUCGGGUAAGUUCCGACCUGCACGAAUGGCGUAAUGAUGGCCAGGCUGUCUCCACCCGAGACUCAGUGAAAUUGAACUCGCUGUGAAGAUGCAGUGUACCCGCGGCAAGACGGAAAGACCCCGUGAACCUUUACUAUAGCUUGACACUGAACAUUGAGCCUUGAUGUGUAGGAUAGGUGGGAGGCUUUGAAGUGUGGACGCCAGUCUGCAUGGAGCCGACCUUGAAAUACCACCCUUUAAUGUUUGAUGUUCUAACGUGGACCCGUAAUCCGGGUUGCGGACAGUGUCUGGUGGGUAGUUUGACUGGGGCGGUCUCCUCCUAAAGAGUAACGGAGGAGCACGAAGGUUGGCUAAUCCUGGUCGGACAUCAGGAGGUUAGUGCAAUGGCAUAAGCCAGCUUGACUGCGAGCGUGACGGCGCGAGCAGGUGCGAAAGCAGGUCAUAGUGAUCCGGUGGUUCUGAAUGGAAGGGCCAUCGCUCAACGGAUAAAAGGUACUCCGGGGAUAACAGGCUGAUACCGCCCAAGAGUUCAUAUCGACGGCGGUGUUUGGCACCUCGAUGUCGGCUCAUCACAUCCUGGGGCUGAAGUAGGUCCCAAGGGUAUGGCUGUUCGCCAUUUAAAGUGGUACGCGAGCUGGGUUUAGAACGUCGUGAGACAGUUCGGUCCCUAUCUGCCGUGGGCGCUGGAGAACUGAGGGGGGCUGCUCCUAGUACGAGAGGACCGGAGUGGACGCAUCACUGGUGUUCGGGUUGUCAUGCCAAUGGCACUGCCCGGUAGCUAAAUGCGGAAGAGAUAAGUGCUGAAAGCAUCUAAGCACGAAACUUGCCCCGAGAUGAGUUCUCCCUGAGACUUAGAGUCUCCUGAAGGAACGUUGAAGACGACGA